GAGUUUGAUCCUGGCUCAGAUUGAACGCUGGCGGCAGGCCUAACACAUGCAAGUCGGGCGGUAGAGAGAAGCUUGCUUCUCUUGAGAGCGGCGGACGGGUGAGUAAUGCCUAGGAAUCUGCCUGGUAGUGGGGGAUAACGCUCGGAAACGGACGCUAAUACCGCAUACGUCCUACGGGAGAAAGCAGGGGACCUUCGGGCCUUGCGCUAUCAGAUGAGCCUAGGUCGGAUUAGCUAGUUGGUGAGGUAAUGGCUUACCAAGGCGACGAUCCGUAACUGGUCUGAGAGGAUGAUCAGUCACACUGGAACUGAGACACGGUCCAGACUCCUACGGGAGGCAGCAGUGGGGAAUAUUGGACAAUGGGCGAAAGCCUGAUCCAGCCAUGCCGCGUGUGUGAAGAAGGUCUUCGGAUUGUAAAGCACUUUAAGUUGGGAGGAAGGGCAGUAAAUUAAUACUUUGCUGUUUGACGUUACCGACAGAAUAAGCACCGGCUAACUCUGUGCCAGCCGCCGCCGUAA
This 518-nucleotide ribosomal RNA is filed under the name uncultured bacterium. RNAcentral's name for it is "bacterial SSU rRNA". It matches the Rfam family "Bacterial small subunit ribosomal RNA", at positions 9 to 523 of the family's 1533-position model. The record is from RNAcentral.